Long non-coding RNA from Symphalangus syndactylus (siamang), 1825 nucleotides. RefSeq lists it as uncharacterized. Lineage: Eukaryota; Metazoa; Chordata; Mammalia; Primates; Hylobatidae. The record is from RefSeq and is a predicted model, not a curated record.
CUGUUAGAGUCGGGUCUUUGUUCUUAGAGCUCCCAAGAUGGUGGCGGCCUGCUCCCAAGGUGGCAGCAAGACUUUUGUUCUCUGACCUGGGGUUCUUGGCCUCAUGGAUUCCACGGAAUGGAACCUUGGGCCGUGCGAUUAGUGGUGUGAUUACUGUCUCCUGACUGGACCCUGACUGCUGUAGAAUUGGUAACUGAAAGUGUCACAGAAGACAGAUUCUAAAAGUGCCAGCCCUGCACCCCACUCCUGCCCCUGCUUGGUGCUUGAUGACCCUGUGUCUGGCUUCUCUGGGGAGAACUGACUGUGUCUUUUUCACUUCCCUUUCUCCAGGCUCUCAGGAGGACAGGCAAGGGUGCAGCUUUUCGAGAAUGCGUCAGUAAGGGCCACUAAAUCCGACCUUCCUCAGUCCUCCUUGUGGUCUACAAGGAAAACUAGUGUUUCUGCUGCUGUGUUGGAUUGAGGAUAUCAAGCUACAGAUGAUCUUACAAAUGGAAACCCAAAUGAGCUCAACUAACAACUACCAAGGACACCUGGACCAACCCGCUGGCCCUUUCAAUGGCCUAAAGAGUUCCCCUCUGGAGGACAUUACAACUGCCAGGUCCCUUCUUUGCCCCUAUCCAGCAGGAAGUAGCUAGAGUGGUCAUCGCCCAAUUCCCAACAGCAGCUGGGGUGUCUUGUUAAGUGGGGAGAUUGAGAGGUGAAGCUAGCUGGGCUUCUGGGUUGGGUGGGGACUUGGAGAACUUUUCUGUCUAGCUAGAGGAUUGUAAACACACCAAUCAGUGCUCUGUGUCUAGCUAAAGGUUUGUGAAUGCACCAAUCAGCACUCUGUAAAAAUGGACCAGUCAGCACUCUGUAAAAUGGACCAAUCAGUAGGAUGUGGGCGGGUCCAAAUAAGGGAAUAAAAGCUGGUCACCUGAGUCAGCAGUGGCAACCCGCUCGGGUCCCCUUCCAUGCUGUGGAAGCUUUGUUCUUUUGCUCUUCACAAUAAAUCUUGCUGCUUCUCACUUUUUGGGUCCACACCACCUUUAUGAGCUGUAACACUCACUGUGAAGGUCUGCGGCUUCACUGCUGAAGUCAGCGAGACCAUGAACCCACGGGGAGGAACAAUCAACUCCGGACAUGCAACCUUUAAGAGCUGUAACACUCACUGCAAAGGUCUGUGGCUUCGCUCCUGAAGUCAGCAAGACCACGAACCCACCGGAAGGAAGAAAUUUUGGACACAUCGGAACAUCUGAAGGAACAAACUCUGGACACGCCAUCUUUAAGAACUGUAACACUCACCAUGAGGUUUCACGGGUUCAUUCUUGAAGUCAGCGAGACCAAGAACCCACCAGAAGGAACGAAUUCUGGACACAGACUCACUGCAACCUCCACCUCCUGGAUUCAAGUGACUCUCCUGCCUUAGCCUCCUGAAUAGCUGUGCCUACAGGCACAAGCCACCAUGCAUGGCUAAUUUUUUGUAUUUUUAGUAGAGAUGGGGUUUCACCAUGUUGCCCAGUCUGGUCUCUGACUCCUGAGCUCAAGUGAUCCACCUGCCUCAACCUCCUGAAGUGUUGGGAUACAGGUCUGAGGCACUGUGCCCGGCCUCCCCUGGAUUAGUUCUUACAGGAAUAAAUUAGUUCUUUGCCAGACCAGGUUGUUAUAAAAGUGAGAUUGCCUCUAGUGUUUUGCAUCCUCACAUAUGUCUGCUUACCUCUUGACCUCUCUCUAUGUUAUGACCCAGCACAAAAGCCCUCACCAGAAGCCAAGCAGAUGCUGAUGCCACACCCCUUGGACUUCUCAGUCUACAGAGCCAUGAAACAAAUAAACCUUUCUUUAUAAAUUA